This 472-nucleotide ribosomal RNA is filed under the name uncultured bacterium. RNAcentral describes it as "partial 16S ribosomal RNA". It matches the Rfam family "Bacterial small subunit ribosomal RNA", at positions 28 to 507 of the family's 1533-position model. The record is from RNAcentral.
GACGAACGCUGGCGGCGUGCUUAACACAUGCCAGUCGAACGAUGAACCCGGAGCUUGCUCUGGGGGAUUAGUGGCGAACGGGUGAGUAACACGUGAGUAACCUGCCCUGGACUCUGGGAUAAGCGUUGGAAACGACGUCUAAUACCGGAUAGGACCUUGGAUCGCAUGAUCUGGGGUGGAAAGUUUUUUCGGUCUGGGAUGGACUCGCGGCCUAUCAGCUUGUUGGUGAGGUAAUGGCUCACCAAGGCGUCGACGGGUAGCCGGCCUGAGAGGGUGACCGGCCACACUGGGACUGAGACACGGCGCAGACUCCUACGGGAGGCAGCAGUGGGGAAUAUUGCACAAUGGGCGAAAGCCUGAUGCAGCAACGCCGCGUGCGGGAUGACGGCCUUCGGGUUGUAAACCGCUUUUAGUAGGGAAGAAGGGCUUCGGCUUGACGGUACCUGCAGAAAAAGGACCGGCUAACUACGUG